This 1331-nucleotide ribosomal RNA is filed under the name Corynebacterium amycolatum. Its description in RNAcentral is "16S ribosomal RNA". It matches the Rfam family "Bacterial small subunit ribosomal RNA", at positions 91 to 1438 of the family's 1533-position model. The record is from RNAcentral. Lineage: Bacteria; Bacillati; Actinomycetota; Actinomycetes; Mycobacteriales; Corynebacteriaceae.
ACGAGUGGCGAACGGGUGAGUAACACGUGGGUGACCUGCCCUGCACUUCGGGAUAAGCCUGGGAAACUGGGUCUAAUACCGGAUAGGACCGCACCGUGAGGGUGUGGUGGAAAGUUUUUUCGGUGUGGGAUGGGCCCGCGGCCUAUCAGCUUGUUGGUGGGGUAAUGGCCUACCAAGGCGGCGACGGGUAGCCGGCCUGAGAGGGUGGACGGCCACAUUGGGACUGAGACACGGCCCAGACUCCUACGGGAGGCAGCAGUGGGGAAUAUUGCACAAUGGGCGGAAGCCUGAUGCAGCGACGCCGCGUGGGGGAUGACGGCCUUCGGGUUGUAAACUCCUUUCACCAUCGACGAAGGGUUUCUGACGGUAGAUGGAGAAGAAGCACCGGCUAACUACGUGCCAGCAGCCGCGGUAAUACGUAGGGUGCGAGCGUUGUCCGGAAUUACUGGGCGUAAAGAGCUCGUAGGUGGUUUGUCGCGUCGUCUGUGAAUUCCGGGGCUUAACUCCGGGCGUGCAGGCGAUACGGGCAUAACUUGAGUACUGUAGGGGAGACUGGAAUUCCUGGUGUAGCGGUGAAAUGCGCAGAUAUCAGGAGGAACACCGGUGGCGAAGGCGGGUCUCUGGGCAGUAACUGACGCUGAGGAGCGAAAGCAUGGGGAGCGAACAGGAUUAGAUACCCUGGUAGUCCAUGCCGUAAACGGUGGGCGCUAGGUGUGGGUUUCCUUCCACGGGAUCCGUGCCGUAGCUAACGCAUUAAGCGCCCCGCCUGGGGAGUACGGCCGCAAGGCUAAAACUCAAAGGAAUUGACGGGGGCCCGCACAAGCGGCGGAGCAUGUGGAUUAAUUCGAUGCAACGCGAAGAACCUUACCUGGGCUUGACAUAUACAGGAUCGCGCCAGAGAUGGUGUUUCCCUUGUGGCUUGUAUACAGGUGGUGCAUGGUUGUCGUCAGCUCGUGUCGUGAGAUGUUGGGUUAAGUCCCGCAACGAGCGCAACCCUUGUCUUAUGUUGCCAGCACGUUGUGGUGGGGACUCGUAAGAAACUGCCGGGGUUAACUCGGAGGAAGGUGGGGAUGACGUCAAAUCAUCAUGCCCCUUAUGUCCAGGGCUUCACACAUGCUACAAUGGUCGGUACAGUGGGUUGCCAGUCCGUGAGGGCGAGCUAAUCCCGCAAAGCCGGUCUCAGUUCGGAUCGGGGUCUGCAACUCGACCCCGUGAAGUCGGAGUCGCUAGUAAUCGCAGAUCAGCAACGCUGCGGUGAAUACGUUCCCGGGCCUUGUACACACCGCCCGUCACGUCAUGAAAGUCGGUAACACCCGAAGCCAGUGGCCUAA